RNAcentral lists this ribosomal RNA (1372 nucleotides) under uncultured bacterium. RNAcentral's name for it is "bacterial SSU rRNA". It matches the Rfam family "Bacterial small subunit ribosomal RNA", at positions 28 to 1381 of the family's 1533-position model. The record is from RNAcentral.
GAUGAACGCUGGCGGCGUGCCUAAUACAUGCAAGUCGAGCGAACGGACGAGAAGCUUGCUUCUCUGAUGUUAGCGGCGGACGGGUGAGUAACACGUGGAUAACCUACCUAUAAGACUGGGAUAACUUCGGGAAACCGGAGCUAAUACCGGAUAAUAUUUUGAACCGCAUGGUUCAAAAGUGAAAGACGGUCUUGCUGUCACUUAUAGAUGGAUCCGCGCUGCAUUAGCUAGUUGGUAAGGUAACGGCUUACCAAGGCAACGAUGCAUAGCCGACCUGAGAGGGUGAUCGGCCACACUGGAACUGAGACACGGUCCAGACUCCUACGGGAGGCAGCAGUAGGGAAUCUUCCGCAAUGGGCGAAAGCCUGACGGAGCAACGCCGCGUGAGUGAUGAAGGUCUUCGGAUCGUAAAACUCUGUUAUUAGGGAAGAACAUAUGUGUAAGUAACUGUGCACAUCUUGACGGUACCUAAUCAGAAAGCCACGGCUAACUACGUGCCAGCAGCCGCGGUAAUACGUAGGUGGCAAGCGUUAUCCGGAAUUAUUGGGCGUAAAGCGCGCGUAGGCGGUUUUUUAAGUCUGAUGUGAAAGCCCACGGCUCAACCGUGGAGGGUCAUUGGAAACUGGAAAACUUGAGUGCAGAAGAGGAAAGUGGAAUUCCAUGUGUAGCGGUGAAAUGCGCAGAGAUAUGGAGGAACACCAGUGGCGAAGGCGACUUUCUGGUCUGUAACUGACGCUGAUGUGCGAAAGCGUGGGGAUCAAACAGGAUUAGAUACCCUGGUAGUCCACGCCGUAAACGAUGAGUGCUAAGUGUUAGGGGGUUUCCGCCCCUUAGUGCUGCAGCUAACGCAUUAAGCACUCCGCCUGGGGAGUACGACCGCAAGGUUGAAACUCAAAGGAAUUGACGGGGACCCGCACAAGCGGUGGAGCAUGUGGUUUAAUUCGAAGCAACGCGAAGAACCUUACCAAAUCUUGACAUCCUUUGACAACUCUAGAGAUAGAGCUUUCCCCUUCGGGGGACAAAGUGACAGGUGGUGCAUGGUUGUCGUCAGCUCGUGUCGUGAGAUGUUGGGUUAAGUCCCGCAACGAGCGCAACCCUUAAGCUUAGUUGCCAUCAUUAAGUUGGGCACUCUAAGUUGACUGCCGGUGACAAACCGGAGGAAGGUGGGGAUGACGUCAAAUCAUCAUGCCCCUUAUGAUUUGGGCUACACACGUGCUACAAUGGACAAUACGAAGGGCAGCGAAACCGUGAGGUCAAGCAAAUCCCAUAAAGUUGUUCUCAGUUCGGAUUGUAGUCUGCAACUCGACUACAUGAAGCUGGAAUCGCUAGUAAUCGUAGAUCAGCAUGCUACGGUGAAUACGUUCCCGGGUCU